AGGACGAACGCUGGCGGCGUGCUUAACACAUGCAAGUCGAGGGAGUGGCGGGGCAACUCGCCACGACCGGCGAACGGGUGCGUAACACGUGAGCGACCUACCCUGGUGUGGGGGAUAGCCGGCCCAACGGCCGGGUAAUACCGCAUGCGCUUUGGCUUCUUCCUGGAAGCUCAAGCAAAGUCUUCGGACGCACUGGGAGGGCUCGCGGCCUAUCAGCUCGUUGGCGGGGUAAUGGCCCACCAAGGCGACGACGGGUAGCUGGUCUGAGAGGAUGGCCAGCCACAUUGGGACUGAGAGACGGCCCAGACUCCUACGGGAGGCAGCAGUGGGAAUCUUGCGCAAUGGGCGAAAGCCUGAACGCAGCGACGCCGCGUGCGGAGGACGGCCUCGGUCGUAACGACGUGUCGUCCGGACGAACGAAGCCCUUCGUACGGACGUCGACGGUACGGUCGGAGGAAGACACGGCAACUCCG
RNAcentral lists this ribosomal RNA (473 nucleotides) under uncultured soil bacterium. Its description in RNAcentral is "bacterial SSU rRNA". It matches the Rfam family "Bacterial small subunit ribosomal RNA", at positions 26 to 505 of the family's 1533-position model. The record is from RNAcentral.